CCUACGGUGUGCAGCAGUGAGGAAUAUUGGUCAAUGGGCGCGAGCCUGAACCAGCCAAGUCGCGUGAGGGAAGACGGUCCUAUGGAUUGUAAACCUCUUUUGUCGGGGAGCAAAAGACGCCACGCGUGGCGUUCCGAGAGUACCCGAAGAAAAAGCAUCGGCUAACUCCGUGCCAGCAGCCGCGGGAAUACGGAGGAUGCGAGCGUUAUCCGGAUUUAUUGGGUUUAAAGGGUGCGCAGGCGGAAGAUCAAGUCAGUGGUAAAAUUGAGAGGCUCAACCGCGUCUAGGCGUUGAAACUUGUUUUCUUGAGUGAGCGAGAAGUAUGCGGAAUUCGUUGGGUAGCGGUGAAAUGCAUAGAUAUCACGCAGAACUCCGAUUGCGAAGGCAGCAUACCGGCGCUCAACUGACGCUCAUGCACGAAAGUGUGGGUAUCGAACAGGAUUAGAUACCCCUGUAGUC
RNAcentral lists this ribosomal RNA (459 nucleotides) under uncultured bacterium. RNAcentral's name for it is "partial 16S ribosomal RNA". It matches the Rfam family "Bacterial small subunit ribosomal RNA", at positions 338 to 795 of the family's 1533-position model. The record is from RNAcentral.